Molecule: small nucleolar RNA, 203 nt
Filed under: Otolemur garnettii (small-eared galago)
Lineage: Eukaryota; Metazoa; Chordata; Mammalia; Primates; Galagidae
Description: Small nucleolar RNA U3
Rfam family: Small nucleolar RNA U3
About the family: Small nucleolar RNAs (snoRNAs) are involved in the processing and modification of rRNA in the nucleolus. There are two main classes of snoRNAs: the box C/D class, and the box H/ACA class.
Source: Rfam by way of RNAcentral
AGGGAUUCAUGGCUAAAUCCUUGAGACCCUGGUCUGAUCUCAAUCCUUUUAUGAAAUUUUCCCCCGCGAGGAGGAGGCUCUGUGUUCUCUCCUGAGGGUGAAGCGGCUCUUGGUGUUGCUUUAGUGCAAUUGCCAUUUGCCAUUGAUGAUCGUUCUUUUCUUCCUUUGGGGGAAUAAGAGGGAGAGAACGCAGUCUGAGUGGU